AUGGAUGGAAGUGCAUUCGUUAAUCUUUGGCCACUUCACCAGCUUCCGCCCGGCGAUCUCCGCCGACAGCCGAAUAUGGGAGCAGAGAUACGUCCUCACCAACUCCAAUUAGGAAACAACGAUGGAGUUCCAAAGUAUCGUCGUCGAAGUGGCCGUGCGCGCUGGCCGAACACCGCGGCGACGAUUGGACUCGCAGUGACACACGCGAGCGUCAUGACACCCAUGACGGCGUCAGCGGGCGGUGACGAGACGUACGGUGGAUCUGACGGGGAGCUGAGACCGGCCCAGGUUCCGAGCCUGGAUGUGACGAGCGCAGUCACAAGUCCGGCAGCAGCAGCUAAGUUCGCCGGCCGGUCCCACGUUGCCCUCCCAGUUCCAGCUUUGGCACGACUGUUUUGUUGUUUUCAGAUGUCACCACGUGAGGGUCAUUUGAAAACACUUGCACACUAA
This 450-nucleotide long non-coding RNA is filed under the name Scophthalmus maximus (turbot). RNAcentral's name for it is "lncRNA (ENSSMAG00000027816.1)". Lineage: Eukaryota; Metazoa; Chordata; Actinopteri; Pleuronectiformes; Scophthalmidae. The record is from RNAcentral.